Molecule: ribosomal RNA, 521 nt
Filed under: uncultured bacterium
Lineage: Bacteria
Description: bacterial SSU rRNA
Rfam family: Archaeal small subunit ribosomal RNA
Source: RNAcentral
AACCUCCGCAAUGUGAGAAAUCGCGACGGGGGGAUCCCAAGUGCCAUUCUUAACGGGAUGGCUUUUCAUUAGUGUAAAGAGCUUUUGGAAUAAGAGCUGGGCAAGACCGGUGCCAGCCGCCGCGGUAACACCGGCAGCUCUAGUGGUAACAAUUUUUAUUGGGCCUAAAGCGUCCGUAGCCGGUUUAAUAAGUCUCUGGUGAAAUCCUGUAGCUUAACUGUGGGAAUUGCUGGAGAUACUAUUAGACUUGAGACCGGGAGAGGUUAGAGGUACUCCCAGGGUAGAGGUGAAAUUCUGUAAUCCUGGGAGGACCGCCUGUUGCGAAGGCGUCUAACUGGAACGGUUCUGACGGUGAGGGACGAAAGUUAGGGGCGCGAACCGGAUUAGAUACCCGGGUAGUCCUAACUGUAAACGAUGCGGACUUGGUGUUGGGGUGGUUUUGAGCUGCUCCAGUGCCGAAGGGAAGCUGUUAAGUCCGCCGCCUGGGAAGUACGGUCGCAAGACUGAAACUUAAAGGAAGU